AAUGAAGAGCCUGACUAAAGGGUCAUUUUGAUAGAAUGAAUUAUGUAAAUUUUACCUUCAUUA
Molecule: transfer RNA, 63 nt
Filed under: Neobisnius villosulus
Lineage: Eukaryota; Metazoa; Arthropoda; Insecta; Coleoptera; Staphylinidae
Description: tRNA-Ile
Source: RNAcentral